This 468-nucleotide ribosomal RNA is filed under the name uncultured bacterium. RNAcentral's name for it is "partial 16S ribosomal RNA". It matches the Rfam family "Bacterial small subunit ribosomal RNA", at positions 28 to 507 of the family's 1533-position model. The record is from RNAcentral.
GACGAACGCUGGCGGCGUGCUUAACACAUGCAAGUCGAACGGUGAUGCUCCAGCUUGCUGGAGUGGAUCAGUGGCGAACGGGUGAGUAACACGUGAGCAACCUGCCCCAGACUCUGGAAUAAGCGCUGGAAACGGCGCCUAAUACUGGAUACGAAACUGGCCCGCAUGGGCAUGGUUUGAAAAUUUUUUCGGUUUGGGAUGGGCUCGCGGCCUAUCAGCUUGUUGGUGAGGUAAUGGCUCACCAAGGCGACGACGGGUAGCCGGCCUGAGAGGGCGACCGGCCACACUGGGACUGAGACACGGCCCAGACUCCUACGGGAGGCAGCAGUGGGGAAUAUUGCACAAUGGGCGAAAGCCUGAUGCAGCGACGCCGCGUGGGGGAUGACGGCCUUCGGGUUGUAAACCUCUUUCAGCAGGGAAGAAGCGAAAGUGACGGUACCUGCAGAAGAAGCACCGGCUAACUACGUG